RNAcentral lists this unclassified non-coding RNA (299 nucleotides) under Zea mays. RNAcentral's name for it is "misc RNA Zm00001eb151840". The record is from RNAcentral. Lineage: Eukaryota; Viridiplantae; Streptophyta; Magnoliopsida; Poales; Poaceae.
ACACUAAUUACUACAAUGACUGACUCUAACAAAAAACAAUUUUCGAUUUUCGCGACGAACACAAUAGUGAAAUCGAUUUUCAAUUUUGACACUCGAUUUUUAAGUGGAGCACUAAAACAUGCAUGUGUGCAUACUUAUUUUGGGAAGAGUGACAGCUGCAUGUGUGGCACGGGGAGCUCGAUGCGGCUGCGGGAGGCAGUUAGGCUGCUCCUAGGGAGCCAAAUAGCAUAUGUAUAUGUAUGUGUGUGUGCACAAAUUAUGCAUGCACAGGUAUACCAGUUCACUAUCAUAAUCAGUAG